This 369-nucleotide ribosomal RNA is filed under the name Triticum aestivum (bread wheat). RNAcentral's name for it is "partial small subunit ribosomal RNA". Lineage: Eukaryota; Viridiplantae; Streptophyta; Magnoliopsida; Poales; Poaceae. The record is from RNAcentral.
AUGGGAUACAUGGACCCAGCAUACAUUGCCUCAGGGGAGCUCACAACGCAGUAUGACGUCUACUCCUAUGGAGUAGUGUUGAUGCGAUUGCUAACUAAUAAGAGCCCCCUAGGCCUUCCACAUGUUGUGGAGGCAGCCAUUAGAGAAGGCACGUUGCUAGAUCUAAUUGAUACUUCUGCAAGGGAAUGGCCACCUGAGUGUGCUGAAGAGUUGGCAAGACUAGCACUGCGUUGUUGCCGGUUAGAACGAAAGGAGCGGCCUAAUCUUGCAAAGGAGGUCUGGGGUGUCUUGCAAGCUAUGAUGAAUAUUCAAGACCAGAAAUGUGGGCCACCAACGUUUUUCAUCUGUCCAAUGACACAGGUCCCUUAA